RNAcentral lists this long non-coding RNA (274 nucleotides) under Mytilus galloprovincialis (Mediterranean mussel). Lineage: Eukaryota; Metazoa; Mollusca; Bivalvia; Mytilida; Mytilidae. The record is from RNAcentral.
ACCCGGAGGCGUCCUUCAGCUGGCCCCUCAACAAAUAUAUACUAGUCCAGUGAUAAUGAACGCCAUACUAAUUUCCAAAUUGUACACAAGAAACUAAAAUUAAAAUAAUACAAGACUAACAAAGGCCAGAGGCUCCUGACUUGGGACAGGCGCAAAAAUGCGGCGGGGUUAAACAUGUUUGUGAGAUCUCAACCCUCCCCCUAUACCUCUAACCAAUGUAGUAAAGUAAACACAUAACAAUACGCACAUUAAAAUUCAGUUCAAGAGAAAUCCG